UACGUAGGGGGCAAGCGUUGUUCGGAAUUACUGGGCGUAAAGGGCGCGUAGGCGGCAGGCCAAGUCGGGAGUGAAAGCCCGGGGCUCAACCCCGGAAUGUCUUUCGAAACUGGCCAGCUGGAGUGCGGAAGAGGCAACUGGAAUUCCCAGUGUAGCGGUGAAAUGCGUAGAUAUUGGGAAGAACACCUGAGGCGAAGGCGGGUUGCUGGGCCGACACUGACGCUGAGGCGCGAAAGCCAGGGGAGCAAACAGG
RNAcentral lists this ribosomal RNA (253 nucleotides) under uncultured bacterium. RNAcentral's name for it is "partial 16S ribosomal RNA". It matches the Rfam family "Bacterial small subunit ribosomal RNA", at positions 524 to 776 of the family's 1533-position model. The record is from RNAcentral.